Molecule: non-coding RNA, 117 nt
Organism: Homo sapiens (human)
Lineage: Eukaryota; Metazoa; Chordata; Mammalia; Primates; Hominidae
Rfam family: Metazoan signal recognition particle RNA
About the family: The signal recognition particle (SRP) is a universally conserved ribonucleoprotein.
Source: Rfam
GCCGGGCGCAGUGGCUCACGCCUGUAAUCCCAGCACUUUGGGAGGCUGAGGUGGGUGGAUCACUUGAGGUCAGGAGUUCAAGACCAGCCUGGCCAACAUAGUGAAACCCCAUCUCUA